RNAcentral lists this long non-coding RNA (269 nucleotides) under Mus musculus (house mouse). RNAcentral describes it as "long non-coding RNA chr4:21671039-21671308". The record is from RNAcentral. Lineage: Eukaryota; Metazoa; Chordata; Mammalia; Rodentia; Muridae.
CCUGUCCCCAGAAGAACUGAUACUAGCUCUGCUCCUGUGCCCAAGAAGCUGCUCUGAUACCCAAUGCUAUACAUCAGCCAGGGGCAGUACUGCACCUUGAGCAACUUGGUCAAGGCCAUCUUUGAUGCUAUCACCAAGAUUUACAGUCAGUCUCUAGAAGGAGACUGUAUUCACCAAGUAUCUAUCAGGAAUUUAAUGACUAUCAUGUGAAAGUCCACACCAUAGUCUCCAUUCAGAGGACCCAGGCUCCAGUUGUGGCUACCACAUAG